Non-coding RNA from Momordica charantia (bitter melon), 759 nucleotides. NCBI's taxonomy places the organism in Eukaryota, Viridiplantae, Streptophyta, Magnoliopsida, Cucurbitales, Cucurbitaceae. The record is from RefSeq and is a predicted model, not a curated record.
UUCUUAAUUACCUCGUUCAUAUCAUAUAUAUCCUUCAUUAGCUUCUUAAUUAUCGCAACCAAAUACAAGUUUUUUUCUUUUUAUGAUCAUGAUGAAGAGGGUGCUUCUUCUGCUCUUUGUUACCAUGCUGGUGCUGCUGGCCGCGGAGGCUGUCAUGGACGGCACGGUUGGAAAGAUGGGUGUGCGUAAGCUGGCCCAAGAUUUCAACGAUCGAGCCACCAAAACAGGAGUGAUCGACAUAGCAGAUGAACCUGAACGUGAAGAUGUAGAUAAUGCUGAAGCUGAUGUCACGGUCGAUGAUAGCGACAACAACAAAGACGACGACGAAAAUCUAGGUUAUAAAAACUACGACAAGGGCUCCGACACUGAAACUCACCGUUACUUCUCAAGUGACAAACCAUAUAGACCUUAAAAGAAAACGUAGAUUUGAAGAUCAUCAUCAUAUAUAUCAUCAUCCCAGUUUGUCAAUGUGAAACGUGCAUGGAGCUGAGAAGUUGGGGAUCGGACGAAUGGCUAAGGCAUGAAAGCUUUGCGUUUCCCACAAAGUUAUGAAUCUUUCUAUGUUGUGAAAAAUGAAUGUACAAUAGGAUCGAAAUAUAUGUAUAAUUAAUCUUCUAAGCUAUGUCCUGUAAUUUGGAUUGUAAUUUUGAUUUGUGAAGGGAGGAUGAUUAAUGUAUACAUAUAGCUGGUGAUCUUGUUAUAAUUAAAAAUAACUCUGUAUUAAAUAUAUAUAUAUAUAUAUUAGUACAAUCUGUGAGG